CAAACCUUUAUUGCAUUAACAUAGUCACCCUACGUGUACAGGGAUGUGAUGCAUCUUUAAUGCUACAAGGGAACAAUACAGAACAAAGCGAUCCAACAAACAGAUCCGUUGGAGGAUUUUCUGUUAUAGAAUCAGCGAAAAGACUUCUUGAUAUCUUCUACCUCGAAACUGUUUCUUGAGCAGACAUAGUUGCUUUAGCCGCCAGAGACCCAGUCGAAAUUGCCGGCGGACCAAGGGUUCAGAUUCCUACCGGUAGAAGAAAUGGAAUUCAAAUGUUAGACCAAACAUUAUCGACACCAGUUUUACUAUGGAUGAGAUAGUCAAGCUCUUUACUAAUAAAGGAUUAUCCUUACUCGAUCUCGUCAUUCUUUCAAGUUCAUGUUCUUCGUAUAAGUCCCAAAAUAGUCGCAAGUUUUUAACUGUUUACAUUUUACCAAACUAGCGUUACAUAUCUAGUACUAAUAUUUAAGCUUCACAGGAGCGCGUACAAUAUGAUCAGCUCAUUGCAACACAUUGCAGUUCCAAUAAAACUCAAAUGGAACUCUUAGGCUCAUUUACCAAACCAUUGAUUCUAAUUAUGCAGAUGAGCUAAUGAGACAGUAUCAAGUGACAAUGAACAAUGAUCCUGAAACAUCUAUGCUAUUUGAUAACCAGUACUACAGAAAUCUUCUAGCUCAGAGUUCUGUUCCCUUCUGAUUCGGUUUUGAUGAGCGAGUUAACACAAAGAGAAUGGUGGAAUAUUUUGCAAAUGAUCAACAACUUUUCUUUGUCAAUUGGGGUGCUGCGUUCUUGAAGCUAACUAGUGUUGGAGUUAAUUCCUCAUUCUUGUACAGCAACUAAUGUUGUUCCUCUGGAAGCGUGUGCAGCUUGAAAACAGGCUGGCAGUUGGAAAUAGUGUUAUCACGUGAAACAGAGGGCCCAACGGGCAAAAAAUCCAAAGGCGUGGAUUGGUUUUGCAGAGAAUCCAUGGUAUCUAACGGUGCCAUUUGAAAUGGAGUGUUGGAAUGAACAAAGUCAUUAAUAGUGGUACUUAUUCCAAUAUCAGAAGAGUUAAGAGUUACUCUUCUUAUUGUGAAACGUGAACCUCUCUACUUUCUCAUUCAAAUUUCAAACCUUCUCUUCUCUCUCCAUCUUUCUCUGUGCUAACAACUUCAGAACAAACCUUCACAACAUCUCCUCUCUCUUUCAGUAUCAGAACCAUUAAUGCUUCCUUCAAGGUUGGUGUUGUUCGGAAAUGCUGAUGCAUGUGGUGUUGACGAAGGUAGUACGGUCGGUUCCGUAGCGGCUUCAUCGUCGGAGGUCUCAAACUCAGGCGGAAUCGGACAGUUUGUGUGACAUGCGGCGGUGAACGAUCGUUUGGCCGUAAUGCUGGUGGCGAGCCCUCUUGAAAGGUACACUCCAUUUUUUUUAACACAAAAAGAGUAAGUGUAUUUUAAAAUAUUUAAAUUUAAUUCACAAAUUGUCUAAUUAUUGUUUCAUGUUAUACUAUUAUUGAAAUGAUGUUGGGUAAUUUAAUUUGAAGAUAUAGUGGUACUCCUCUUUUUCCCCUACUAAGGGAAAAUGCAUUUUAGUAACACAAACAAGGUUUGAAAUUAUUGACUAAAAUUGUAAUUCAACACGAUUUUAUACGAAUUUACACUUUUUAAAAUGGUUGAAAUCAACGCUUUUUAAAAUUGCUGAAAUCAUUUAAAAUUAAAUGACCUUUUAUAUUUUACUUUUUUUUUUUCACGGUCCUUUUAAUGAAUAAAAUUUUCCUUCUUUCUUUUAACUUGACAAGUUUUGAACAAGGGAGAGAUAAGAGAGCUAUAGCGUGACCAUUUUUUAUUUGGCUUAAUUGCAACUUUAGUCCCCUAUUUUGUCUUUUUCUUGAUUUUAAUCCCUCUAUUUUAAAAACUACUAUUUUAUUCUCCUUUUUAAGUUUUUUGUGCAAUUUUUGUCCCUCUAUUUUACUUUUUUCUGCAAAAUUAGUCUCUACUGUUGUCCCUUUUUCAACAUAAAGCUCAAAAGUGGACCAAAAUCGUGGUUUUAAAAAUAGGGGACCAAAAUAAAAAAAAAAAUAAAAUAUGAGAACCAAAGUUGCAAUUAAGCCUUUUUAUUUAAAAUUUUGAUAUCUCAUCAACUUAGGAUUGAUUGAUUUAAGAUUUACUAUUCACUUGCGGAAGUUUCAUUAUUAUGGACUUGUAAAUCAAUCUUGUCCAAUGAUGUUUCGGACUCCUCCAAUGGAAUUUUUUAGACUGAGAAUUAAUUCUUCAAAUGCCGCAUUUUGUCCCAUGUUGCCAUUUCAUUUGGGGAAAGAUCCAUUUUUUCAGUUAGAGGCCCAUGUUGCCAUUUCAUUUGGCGAAAUGACUUUUUUAUUUUUUUUCAUUUUAUUAAUUAAAAUAAUUUUGUUUAAUUUAUUUAUAAUUUAUAAAUUCAAUAAAUAUUUUAAAUGAAUUAAAAUAUGUUUUAAUUAUUUUAAAGUAAUAAAAAAUUUGAAACUUUAAUAUUAUUCGUUAAUUGAAUAUACAGACAGAUAUCAUGCAAUAAUAUUAAAUAAAUCAAAGUUAUUUUUCAUGCCAUCAAGAACAUCCUAAUCUUCGUGAUUUCUGAACAUCCUAAAAGAAAUAUCGGGAUAUCUUUCAUUUCUUCAAGCUUGGACAUUUACACACAUGCCUAUUAUUUUUCCUAUAUCUGCGCUCUCUCAAACAUAUCUUUGUGCUGCGAGGUAAAUUAUAAUUUAAACUCAUUAUUUAAUUUUUUUAAUUCCUUUAGAUGGUGUAUCCUAGGCAUGAACAUCAAGAUCAAUCCCCGCCACCAUCUCCAAGGAUACCGGUUAUGUAAUGUUUCCGAUAAUUUAGACCAUCUGGCCAUUUUCUUUAGAACCUAACAUAAUUAUAUAAAAAAUUACAAGGUUAAAGCAAAUAAUGACAUUAAUAUUUGUUCAAAAAUCAAAAGAGAUUGUAACCAACCUUUCUACGUCAUUUUACGGGUUGAAUAUUACGAGAUUCUGAUGCUUUAGUGUCGGAUUUAGAACUACUGAAAAAAAAUUAAAGGUAAGUAAAAUCCUUAUUCAUAAUAAAAUCUUGAAAAAUUUAAAAUAAACUCCAAAACUUUAACUCAGACUUUCAUUUUCUUCUCAUUCUCUUAACACCACUGUCUAACAAUACUCCAGUCUUAUCUCACAUAUCAACAUUCAACCUGUUGUUUUUGAACUAUUGACAAAAAAAACUAUAGCAUAAAUUUAAAGAAAAGUAAACCACUCAUACCUUUUUCUUAGAUAUAGGGUGUCAUCUUGCAAUUAGUCGAGUUUGAGGCGAUUGAUUCCAUUGAAUUUAGAUAUUUAAAUAAUAAUAACAAAUUUAUAACCACCAACUCACCCAUCUACUUAGUAGUUGAGAUGUAGUAACUAUGAUAACAGUAAAUAUAAAUAAAUAUUAAAUCUGAACUUAUAUACUAAUCUAUAUAGUAAAUAUAUAGGUCUACACAAAGAUAUUCCACUCUGCGACAAAGAUAUUGUACUAUGCAACUCUGCAACAAAGAUAUAAUGCAACUCUGCAACAAAGAUAUCUUUGUUGCAGAGUUGCCGAGUAGAAUAUAUUUGUUGUAGAGUGGAAUAUCUUUGUGCACACCUAUAUAUUUACUAUAUAGAUUAAUAUAUAGGUUCUGAUCUGAUAUUUAUUUAUAUUUACUGUCAUAAUAGUUACUACAUCUCAACUACUUGGUUGAUGGGUGAGUUGAUGGUUAUAAAUUUUUUAUUAUUAUUUAAAUAUCUAAAUCCAAUGGAAUCAAUAGCCUCAAACUUGACUCAUUGCAAGAAGAAAAAGGUAUGGGUGAUUUACUUUUGCUUUAAAUUUAUGUUAUAAUCUUUUUUUAUCAAUAGUUCAGAAGCACCAGGAUGAAUGUUGGUAUGUGAGUUAAGGGUGGAGUAUUGUUAGAUAGUGGUGUUGAGAGAAUGGGAAGAAAAUGAAAAUUGGAAUUCAUGCAUCAUCUUUUGAAAUAUAUACAACCUUGAAAUCUUGUAUAAUAGCUUUGGAAUGUUGUUGUACACUGCCUUCUUUAAUUGUUAACUGAGUCUGAGUUAAAGUUUUUAAGUUUAUUUUAAAAUUUUCAAGAUUUUAUUAUGAAUAAAGAUUUUACUUAACUUUAGUUUUAAUUCCGACACUAAAGCAUCGGAAUCUCGUAAUAUUCAAUCCGCGAAACGGCGUAAAAAGGUUGGUUUCAAUCUCUUUUGAUUUUUGAACAAAUAUUGAUGUUAUUAUUUGCCCUAACCUUGUAAUUUAUUUAUAUGAUUCUGUUAAUUCCUAGAGAAAAUGGCCGAAUAUGAUUUUCGAAAACACUGAUUAACGAUGCAGAUGUAUGUCUUAUUUUAUUUUUUGAGUGAAAUUGGGAGUAAUGCAUAUCAGAGCAUUUGAUUUUUAAAGUGACAGAAUUUGAAGUGUACUGGAUGAGACAAUAUCAGAGGGUGUAGCUGCAAUAAAAUAGGAAGAAACUAACUCAACCUUAUUGAAAUUGAAUGCAAUACUAAUAAUCUUAGCCAUAACCAAACACAAUAAAAACAUCAUCAGAAUAACUAAUGCUAAAACUAGCUUAGAGCAGAUCGACACAGUUAUGAGAAGUAGAAUCAAUCUCACACAGUUUUAGGAGCAAGUUUAUCAGCAACUGAGUUUUGAUCACGAAAAUCCAACUCAAUUUGGCUUCCCAAUCUGUACUAUUAAGGUCUCUUAUUUCAUUUAUAACCGAAUCGUUAGAUCUACGUCCAGAUUUCAGGUUUGUAUUUGAUAUCUUUCAUUAUCUUACUUCACACUGACAAACUGUUCUUCAUGUUGUUAACCGAUGAAGACCUUAUGUAGUGUGUUGGUUUCUUUCUCAUUUCAAGUCAAAUUAUAAUAUGAUGAAGACCUUGUGUAGUGUUGGUACAUCAAUGCUAUUAACUGUUCUUUGAAUUGGGAAAAUCAUAAUAUGUUGUUUCUGAUUAACAACAUACCGGAAAAUUAAUCAUAGUCAAAUUAUUUCUUUUUGCAGCUCGUGGAUCCCAAUUCCGGAUUAUUUGAUAAUAGUUUCGAAAACGUUGAUUUGGAUGAUCCGAGUGUACCUCUUAUUAUCAGUGUGGCUUUAAAAUACAAUUACAGAAUGACACUGGACAAGUGUUUAGAUUUCGAAGCUCUUUAUCUGGAAGAAAAGAUAGACAAUAAGACCGUGAAUAUGAGGAAGGUUAUGGAAGUAUUGGGCAGUCUCCGGUACAGAUUUGAUAAAUUUUGCAAAGAAAUGAAACAAGAAUAUCGUGAAGCAAAGCAUGAUGUCAAUGUACAGUCCUAUCAUCUUACAUUUUAAGAGUUUGAAAGUCAUUUUUGAGGAAUUAGUAUUUAAGAAGCAUCUCAACUCUAUGAAAUUGAAGGAAAAACGUAAUCGUAGUAGAAGGCUGCACUCAACAUCGGGAGCGAGUAGCAGUGGUAAACGGAUGUCAACAUCUGUCACAUCUAAAUCCGUCAAAAAACCCAAAGUCUCAAUCGCUUCUAUCAUGAAAGAGUUUGAGAAUUUGUCUGAGAAUUCGCCUGAGCGUUUGAAACUUUUUGUUGAAAGGUAUAACAUUAUAUUUGAUCCAGGGAAUAUUUUGGAUAGAGAUAUCUUGGUUAAAAUAUGUCACAAGUAUCUUGUUGACAAUCCAUUUUUAGUUGAUUUGUUUUUAGACUUUUAUGACAACCAGUUUAGGGAAAACAUAAUUUCUCUAAUAAAAAAAAUCUGGAUGAUACCCAUUAAAUGUUUUUAUUGUGGUGUUUUUAUAACAGACUAAUAAUUUACAAUUAUUAAGUAUAACUUUUAUAGAAGACUGUAUUGAAAAUAAACGAUACCCAUUAAAUGUUUUUAUUGUGGUGUUUUUUUGAUCUUUUCAAGGUUUUUUCUUUAUCCACCUCUUUAUGGGGGUCACCCCAGCGAAAUCCCCAACUUAUCCCUGCUUCGGAGAUUCAUCUCCGAAGUAAUUUUUUAAAGAUUUUUUUAGACUUUGGAAAUUCAUUUCCGAAAACACCAAAAAAUUGAUGUUUUCGGAGAUGCAUUUCCGAAAUGCAUGAAAAUUCAGUUAUUUUUUACAAUCAGAUAAUAUUUCGGAAAAGUGUUCAUAUACCAUCAAAAUCAAACCCAAAACAAACUCAAACCCUCUCCAAAACUUCCAUCAAAAUCAAA
Vicia villosa (hairy vetch) is the source of this 6159-nucleotide long non-coding RNA. RefSeq lists it as uncharacterized. Lineage: Eukaryota; Viridiplantae; Streptophyta; Magnoliopsida; Fabales; Fabaceae. The record is from RefSeq and is a predicted model, not a curated record. The transcript has 4 exons.